RNAcentral lists this transfer RNA (84 nucleotides) under Escherichia phage Andreotti. RNAcentral's name for it is "tRNA-Tyr". It matches the Rfam family "tRNA". Rfam says of the family: Transfer RNA (tRNA) molecules are approximately 80 nucleotides in length. Their secondary structure includes four short double-helical elements and three loops (D, anti-codon, and T loops). Lineage: Duplodnaviria; Heunggongvirae; Uroviricota; Caudoviricetes; Andersonviridae. The record is from RNAcentral.
GCGUUCAUGGCAGAGAUGGUCAAUGCAGCAGUCUGUAAAACUGUCCCUUUCAAGGUUUCUGGUUCGAGUCCAGAUGGGCGCACC